RNAcentral lists this long non-coding RNA (612 nucleotides) under Pandoravirus dulcis. RNAcentral's name for it is "putative ncRNA". The record is from RNAcentral.
CAAGGACGCGCACGCGAGCGCGUACGGCGCAGGCAAGGCGCGGAUGGCCCAGGAGCCCCGCCAGAUCGAUGCUCGCGUGCCACGGCGUAGAGACGAUGGCGUCGAUCCCGGUGAUGAUCUCGUCCAGUAUUCCUUUGGCGUUAUCUUUGCGUGCACGAGUCUCGCCAAAGUUCCAGUCACUGCACAUCGCCAGCGUGUCUGAGAUGCGUGCGGCGGCCGUGCGCCAUCGCGCCUCUUCGUGCAUGCGCUCGUGCUCGUGCAGUCGCGUCCACAAUGCGCGGUCAUCACAGGCGAGGGCGAGCGCGCGGCCGGACAUUGCGCACGCGCCCACGUCGCGCGUCCCCAGGCAGGACAGGACGCGGAGGAGUAUCUCGACGGGUAGGACGUCGAGGGUCAACGGCACGUCGCCGUCGGCGUCCUUGCGGUUCUCUGCGGCCGCAGUGUCCAUGGCGACCAAGGAUCGACGGGUUUGUUUCUGCCUUGGCGGUCGAUGCCGGUUUUUCUUUUCUCAAGCGUGCGUGUAAGCAGGGCGACCAAUGCCUUUUUUUUGCUCCGCCUCUUCUCUGCCGCCUAUGCGCCUUGUCAAGGCGGAUGCCGCGUCGACUUUUCGAC